Molecule: ribosomal RNA, 274 nt
Filed under: uncultured bacterium
Lineage: Bacteria
Description: partial 16S ribosomal RNA
Rfam family: Bacterial small subunit ribosomal RNA
Source: RNAcentral
AUACGGAGGGGGCUAGCGUUGUUCGGAAUUACUGGGCGUAAAGGGCGUGUAGGCGGGACAUCAAGUUAGGCGUGAAAGCCCCGGGCUCAACCCGGGAACUGCGCUUGAUACUGGUGACCUAGAGUCCGGGAGAGGGUGGUGGAAUUCCCAGUGUAGAGGUGAAAUUCGUAGAUAUUGGGAAGAACACCGGUGGCGAAGGCGGCCACCUGGACCGGUACUGACGCUGAGGCGCGAAAGCGUGGGGAGCAAACAGGAUUAGAUACCCCGGUAGUCC